AUCCAGCUGACAAGUCCCAAAUAAGACGAAACACACGUUCUGGAU
RNAcentral lists this non-coding RNA (45 nucleotides) under Schistosoma margrebowiei. The record is from RNAcentral. Lineage: Eukaryota; Metazoa; Platyhelminthes; Trematoda; Strigeidida; Schistosomatidae.